UGCAGGAUGAAGCAUCUAUGGUGUGUAAACUGCUUUUGUACGGGAAGAAACACCCCUUCGUGAAGGGGCUUGACGGUACCGUAAGAAUAAGGAUCGGCUAACUCCGUGCCAGCAGCCGCGGUAAUACGGAGGAUCCAAGCGUUAUCCGGAAUCAUUGGGUUUAAAGGGUCCGUAGGCGGUUUUGUAAGUCAGUGGUGAAAUCCGGCAGCUCAACUGUCGAACUGCCAUUGAUACUGCAGGACUUGAAUUAUUGUGAAGUAACUAGAAUAUGUAGUGUAGCGGUGAAAUGCUUAGAUAUUACAUGGAAUACCAAUUGCGAAGGCAGGUUACUAACAAUGGAUUGACGCUGAUGGACGAAAGCGUGGGGAGCGAACAGGAUUAGAUACCCUGGUAGUCCACGCCGUAAACGA
This 410-nucleotide ribosomal RNA is filed under the name uncultured bacterium. RNAcentral's name for it is "bacterial SSU rRNA". It matches the Rfam family "Bacterial small subunit ribosomal RNA", at positions 402 to 809 of the family's 1533-position model. The record is from RNAcentral.